UAGGGAAUCUUCCACAAUGGGCGCAAGCCUGAUGGAGCAACACCGCGUGAGUGAAGAAGGGUUUCGGCUCGUAAAGCUCUGUUGUUAAAGAAGAACACGUAUGAGAGUAACUGUUCAUACGUUGACGGUAUUUAACCAGAAAGUCACGGCUAACUACGUGCCAGCAGCCGCGGUAAUACGUAGGUGGCAAGCGUUAUCCGGAUUUAUUGGGCGUAAAGAGAGUGCAGGCGGUUUUCUAAGUCUGAUGUGAAAGCCUUCGGCUUAACCGGAGAAGUGCAUCGGAAACUGGAUAACUUGAGUGCAGAAGAGGGUAGUGGAACUCCAUGUGUAGCGGUGGAAUGCGUAGAUAUAUGGAAGAACACCAGUGGCGAAGGCGGCUACCUGGUCUGCAACUGACGCUGAGACUCGAAAGCAUGGGUAGCGAACAGG
Molecule: ribosomal RNA, 429 nt
Filed under: bacterium
Lineage: Bacteria
Also listed under: 3 other names
Description: partial 16S ribosomal RNA
Rfam family: Bacterial small subunit ribosomal RNA
Source: RNAcentral